CAGCAGCCGCGGGAACACCAGCACCUCGAGUGGUCAGGAGGUUUAUUGGGCCUAAAGCAUCCGUAGCCGGUUGCAUAAGUUUUCGGUUAAAUCUAUGCGCUUAACGUAUAGGCCGCCGAAAAUACUGUGCAGCUAGGGAGUGGGAGAGGUACACGGUACUCGAUAGGAAGGGGUAAAAUCCUUUGAUCUAUUGAUGACCACCUGUGGCGAAGGCGGUGUACCAGAACACGUUCGACGGUGAGGGAUGAAAGCUGGGGGAGCAAACCGGAUUAGAUACCCGCGUAGUCCCUGUCUCUUAUAU
Molecule: ribosomal RNA, 301 nt
Filed under: uncultured bacterium
Lineage: Bacteria
Description: partial 16S ribosomal RNA
Rfam family: Archaeal small subunit ribosomal RNA
Source: RNAcentral